Molecule: small RNA, 168 nt
Filed under: Streptomyces sp.
Lineage: Bacteria; Bacillati; Actinomycetota; Actinomycetes; Kitasatosporales; Streptomycetaceae
Also listed under: 2 other names
Description: c-di-AMP sequence
Rfam family: c-di-AMP riboswitch aptamer (ydaO/yuaA leader)
About the family: This family represents a conserved RNA structure found upstream of the ydaO and yuaA genes in Bacillus subtilis and related genes in other bacteria. The ydaO/yuaA element is thought to act as a genetic "off" switch for the ydaO and yuaA genes in its native state.
Source: RNAcentral
CGGUCACCUCUGCCGAAUCCGUGCUGCCCUCCCGGCAGUUCGGAACCGGGGACCCACACGCACAACCGGGGUGAAUCGGUCCGUACCCUCGCACAACGGACCGUAGGACAGCCUUCCGUUCCGUCCGAACCCGACAGCUAACCCGGUAGGCGGUCCACGGAAGGAGAU